RNAcentral lists this ribosomal RNA (208 nucleotides) under uncultured bacterium. RNAcentral's name for it is "partial 16S ribosomal RNA". It matches the Rfam family "Bacterial small subunit ribosomal RNA", at positions 568 to 775 of the family's 1533-position model. The record is from RNAcentral.
CGCGUAGGCGGUUUUGUAAGUCAGACGUGAAAUCCCCCGGCUUAACUUGGGAACUGCGUCUGAUACUGCAAAACUUGAGUGCGGGAGAGGGAUGUGGAAUUCCAGGUGUAGCGGUGAAAUGCGUAGAUAUCUGGAGGAACACCGGUGGCGAAGGCGGCAUCCUGGACCGACACUGACGCUGAGGCGCGAAAGCUAGGGGAGGCAAACG